CUGAUUUGAAGAGCUUGCUCAGAUAUGACGAUGGACAUUGCAAAGAGUGGCGAACGGGUGAGUAACACGUGGGAAACCUACCUCUUAGCAGGGGAUAACAUUUGGAAACAGAUGCUAAUACCGUAUAACAAUGACAACCGCAUGGUUGUUAUUUAAAAGAUGGUUCUGCUAUCACUAAGAGAUGGUCCCGCGGUGCAUUAGCUAGUUGGUAAGGUAAUGGCUUACCAAGGCGAUGAUGCAUAGCCGAGUUGAGAGACUGAUCGGCCACAAUGGGACUGAGACACGGCCCAUACUCCUACGGGAGGCAGCAGUAGGGAAUCUUCCACAAUGGGCGAAAGCCUGAUGGAGCAACGCCGCGUGUGUGAUGAAGGGUUUCGGCUCGUAAAACACUGUUGUAAGAGAAGAAUGACAUUGAGAGUAACUGUUCAAUGUGUGACGGUAUCUUACCAGAAAGGAACGGCUAAAUACGUGCCAGCAGCCGCGGUAAUACGUAUGUUCCAAGCGUUAUCCGGAUUUAUUGGGCGUAAAGCGAGCGCAGACGGUUAUUUAAGUCUGAAGUGAAAGCCCUCAGCUCAACUGAGGAAUUGCUUUGGAAACUGGAUGACUUGAGUGCAGUAGAGGAAAGUGGAACUCCAUGUGUAGCGGUGAAAUGCGUAGAUAUAUGGAAGAACACCAGUGGCGAAGGCGGCUUUCUGGACUGUAACUGACGUUGAGGCUCGAAAGUGUGGGUAGCAAACAGGAUUAGAUACCCUGGUAGUCCACACCGUAAACGAUGAGUGCUAGGUGUUUGAGGGUUUCCGCCCUUAAGUGCCGCAGCUAACGCAUUAAGCACUCCGCCUGGGGAGUACGACCGCAAGGUUGAAACUCAAAGGAAUUGACGGGGACCCGCACAAGCGGUGGAGCAUGUGGUUUAAUUCGAAGCAACGCGAAGAACCUUACCAGGUCUUGACAUCCCUUGACAACUCCAGAGAUGGAGCGUUCCCUUCGGGGACAAGGUGACAGGUGGUGCAUGGUUGUCGUCAGCUCGUGUCGUGAGAUGUUGGGUUAAGUCCCGCAACGAGCGCAACCCUUAUUACUAGUUGCCAGCAUUCAGUUGGGCACUCUAGUGAGACUGCCGGUGACAAACCGGAGGAAGGUGGGGAUGACGUCAAAUCAUCAUGCCCCUUAUGACCUGGGCUACACACGUGCUACAAUGGCGUAUACAACGAGUUGCCAACCCGCGAGGGUGAGCUAAUCUCUUAAAGUACGUCUCAGUUCGGAUUGUAGGCUGCAACUCGCCUACAUGAAGUCGGAAUCGCUAGUAAUCGCGGAUCAGCACGCCGCGGUGAAUACGUUCCCGGGUCUUGUACACACCGCCCGUCACACCAUGAGAGUUUGUAACACCCAAAGCCGGUGGG
Molecule: ribosomal RNA, 1397 nt
Filed under: Weissella confusa
Lineage: Bacteria; Bacillati; Bacillota; Bacilli; Lactobacillales; Lactobacillaceae
Description: bacterial SSU rRNA
Rfam family: Bacterial small subunit ribosomal RNA
Source: RNAcentral